This 524-nucleotide ribosomal RNA is filed under the name Wolbachia endosymbiont of Tunga penetrans. RNAcentral describes it as "partial 16S ribosomal RNA". It matches the Rfam family "Bacterial small subunit ribosomal RNA", at positions 123 to 681 of the family's 1533-position model. Lineage: Bacteria; Pseudomonadati; Pseudomonadota; Alphaproteobacteria; Rickettsiales; Anaplasmataceae. The record is from RNAcentral.
AAUCUACCUAGUAGUACGGAAUAAUUGUUGGAAACGRCAACUAAURCCGUAUACGCCCUAYGGGGGAAARAUUUAUUGCUAUUAGAUGAGCCUAUAUUAGAUUAGCUAGUUGGUGRGGUAAWRGCYURCCAAGGCAAUGAUCUAUAGCUGAUCUGAGAGGAUGRUCAGCCACACUGGAACUGAGAUACGGUCCAGACUYCUACGGGAGGCAGCAGUGGGGAAUAUUGGACAAUGGGCGAAAGCCUGAUCCAGCYAUGCCGCAUGAGUGAAGAAGGCCUUUGGGUUGUAAAGCUCUUUYAGUGAGGAAGAUAAUGACGGUACUCACAGAAGAAGUCCUGGCUAACUCCGUGCCAGCAGCCGCGGUAAUACGGAGAGGGCUAGCGUUAUUCGGAANNAUUGGGCGUAAAGRGCGCGUAGGCUGGUUARUAAGUUAAAAGUGAAAUCCCAAGGCUCAACUUUGGAAUUGCUUUUAAAACUGCUAAUCUAGAGAUUGAAAGAGGAUAGAGGAAUUCCUAGUGUAGAGG